Molecule: ribosomal RNA, 208 nt
Filed under: Belliella alkalica
Lineage: Bacteria; Pseudomonadati; Bacteroidota; Cytophagia; Cytophagales; Cyclobacteriaceae
Description: partial 23S ribosomal RNA
Rfam family: Bacterial large subunit ribosomal RNA
Source: RNAcentral
GACCGCUGGUGUACCGGUUGUGAUGCCAAUUGCAUUGCCGGGUAGCUACGUCGGGAAGAGAUAAGCGCUGAAAGCAUCUAAGUGCGAAACUCCCUCCAAGAUGAGACUUCCAAACAGGGCCGUCAGAGACGAUGACGUUGAUAGGCAGCAGGUGUAAAGUCAGAGAUGACAUAGCUGAGCUGUACUAAUUGCCCGAAAACUUACCGUA